Long non-coding RNA from Oxyura jamaicensis (ruddy duck), 281 nucleotides. RefSeq lists it as uncharacterized. The record is from RefSeq and is a predicted model, not a curated record. The transcript has 3 exons. NCBI's taxonomy places the organism in Eukaryota, Metazoa, Chordata, Aves, Anseriformes, Anatidae.
UAUUAAUGUGCUCAGAGUGCAAUGCUGCCAGGCAAGACGUCACAUAGAAAAAGGCACAGUUCAUCAGCAGGACUGACAAUUUAUCCUCUAGGACAUGGAGAUACUCCUUUAAAGGAUCACUCUGUUCAAGAGGUUGUAACCUGUAUCCUCAUGGUAACCUGUAUCCUCAGCUGGUCAGCUGGUUCACCUUGUUCAUACAUACAGAGAUGGGCUCCUGACAUUUUCACUGGCUCCCCUGCUGCUGUCUUGCUCCUCAGGUACUGAAACAAGCAAAUGAAUCU